This 2081-nucleotide long non-coding RNA is filed under the name Brassica napus (rape). RNAcentral's name for it is "long non-coding RNA (BNAP_LNC001264)". The record is from RNAcentral. Lineage: Eukaryota; Viridiplantae; Streptophyta; Magnoliopsida; Brassicales; Brassicaceae.
UUGACCCCCACUAUUUUAUAUUGUUUUUGAUAUUUGUUUUAACAUCUGUGAAUGUGUCUCAGCCUUAAGAUGAUUAACCUUAAAUAUUUCAUCUUAGGAAAACCGCAUGUAAAAUAGCAGCCGGUUUCUAAUUUUCUUAUGGUGAGUAAAUUUUCGUUUGAGGGACAUCAGGACAAGUAGGUUGUAAGUAGGUAUUGAGAAUCUAUAUAAGUAAGGUCGUAAUGCUUUAUGGAAGUUAAGCAGAUGUUGAUGCAUGCUGUAAUGGCACUGAAGAAUUUGGUUAAAAUUAAAUAAAGUACAAAGGCGUUGUUGCCAUAAUUUUUUUGUUGUAUUUGCAUGGCUAAUGUAAUGAAGAAUAUGAUGAUAGGACGAGAAAAAGGAAGUAACUGUCCCGGGAAUAAAAGCAAAUAACAAAGCUAGAUGAAUGGGAACUUAAUAUUAUGCUUGUGAUUUCUAUAAAAUAUAUUAUUUAUCCUUUUCCCACUCUUUAAUAUCAUUAUUGUAAUAAAACUCAUAGUUUAUAUAUGUACAUAUAAGAUAGCAAACUAAAGUUAUAUUUUUCUCCUUAUGUGUUAUUUUAUCUUUUUUAUAGUUAGCAGAUUUUUCUAGAUUGCCAAGACACAUCCUUGGACGGUAAAGAGAGACGACCAACAUUUGACGAGAUCAAUAGGUACUAAGCCAGGUGGAAAAAGUCCUGGAAUCGCCUGCGGAUUUUGCAUUUGAGCUACUCCACGAGUGACAAAGAUGGCAGCACACAGUGAAAUAAUUAAGUAGACUGAGACAACAGCUUUGCUUCCCAUCUUAUUGGUUAAUCUUUUUUUUUCCUUGUCCUUUUUAUUUCGGUUAUGCUUAAAAGCUAGGAACAAUCAUUGUUCCUUUCAGUUGUGUGCAGGGGAGUUAGGGAUGAUACGCGCACAAUUGUCCUUGAGGAGAGGAGGGAAGAAAGGAUUCAAAGGAAACAUAUGAGGCCAACAGUUUGCAUCUAAAGUUGAAAACACCUUGCAGCAUGCCGCUUCAACGUUUUCAAAUUUUCCAGAAAAAAAUGAGUUGGAGAUUGCCAGGACACAUCCUUGGACGGUAAAGAGAGACGACCAACAUUUGACGAGAUCAAUAGGUACUAAGCCAGGUGGAAAAAGUCCUGGAAUCGCCUGAGGAUUUUGCAUUUGAGCUACUCCACGAGUGACAAAGAUGGCAGCACACAGUGAAAUAAUUAAGUAGACUGAGACAACAGCUUUGCUUCCCAUCUUAUUGGUUAAUCUUUUUUUUUUCUUGUCCUUUUUAUUUCGGUUAUGCUUAAAAGCUAGGAUGGAUUUUGAUAUGCACAGAUACUAAGAAUAUAUAGGGUGAGGAUACAAAAUUUUAUCAUAUAAAUUAAACAGAAUGUACUGUAUCAGUUUUAGAAUUUCUUUCAAAAUGAAACUCAUGUUUAGGUUAAUGUAUUUUGAGUUACACUUUCUUUCAUGAAGUUGAGUUGACCAAUAUAACUAUAUUAUGGUCAUAUUUACGUUAUCAAACAGAAUAUUGAAAGUUUCUUUUGACCCCCACUAUUUUAUAUUGUUUUUGAUAUUUGUUUUAACAUUUGUAAAUGUGUCUCAGCCUUAAGAUGAUUAACCUUAAAUAUUUCUUCUUAGGAAAACCGCAUGUAAAAUAGCAGCUGGUUUCUAAUUUUCUUAUGGUGAGUAAAUUUUUGUUUGAGGGACAUCAGGACAAGUAGGUUGUAAUAAGUAGGUAUUGAGAAUCUAUAUAAGCAAGGUCGUAAUGUUUUAUGGAAGUUAAGCAGAUGUUGAUGCAUGCUGUAAUGGCACUGAAGAAUUUGGUUAAAAUUAAAUAGAGUACCAAAGCGUUGUUGCCAUAAUUUUCUUGUUGUAUUUGCAUGGCUAAUGUAAUGAAUAAUAUGAUGAUAGAAUGAGAAAAAGGAAGUAACUGUCCCGGGAAUAAAAAAAAAUAACAAAGCUAGACGAAUGGGAACUUAAUAUUAUACUUGUGAGUUCUAUAAAAAAAAUUAUUUAUCCUUUUUCCACUCUUUAAUAUCAGUAUUGUAAUAAAACUCAUAGUUUAUAUAUGUACAUGUAAGAUAGCAA